RNAcentral lists this ribosomal RNA (512 nucleotides) under Eurynecroscia nigrofasciata. Its description in RNAcentral is "partial large subunit ribosomal RNA". Lineage: Eukaryota; Metazoa; Arthropoda; Insecta; Phasmatodea; Lonchodidae. The record is from RNAcentral.
AAUCCUGAAUUCGAAAGGGACCGGAUUCAGUUACUACCGAGAGUUCCGUGGCGACCCGCGCCAGAUGGUGUCGGACGCCCGCGGCGAUUCAUUUCGCUUGCGGUGUCGAUCCCGGCGGCCACUCGGCGACGGGGCCGUAUUCCCGGCUUCGGAGUAACGCACUUCCUCCCUAGUAGAAACGUCGCGACCCGUUGGGUGCCGGUCCCAAGGCCCUGGGAUGGCAGACCGUGCGUCCCGCGGGGGUGAAAGCUCCCGCGGGCGCGCGGACUCCCGGUGACCCGGCCGGCUGCCCGACGGUAUGACCAGAGGAGUCGAUCCGCUGAAUUGGGAAACACUUUGGCCUGUGUAGCGUCCGGCCCGAUGACGAGGCGUGCGGGGUUGGAAAAGGUGUCAAAACCGGGGGUGCUCGUGCGAAGCACGGCCCCGGCCCCUGCCGCGUCCUCGGACAUUUCGGAGUCCUCGGACAGGAUCGUCACUCCCGUCUGCGACGCCCACCUUCGGAUGGUCUCCCG